GUCGAGCGAGAAAGUGGCUUCGGCCAUCAGUAAAGCGGCGGACGGGUGAGUAACACGUAGGUAAUCUUCCCUUGAGCGGGGGACAACGUUUCGAAAGGAACGCUAAUACCGCAUAAGUUCCUAGGGUCUCUGGAUUUUAGGAGGAAAGCUAGGUCGCAAGAUCCGGCACUCGAGGAGGAGCCUGCGUCGCAUCAGCUAGUUGGUGGGGUAAUGGCCUACCAGGGCGAAGACGCGUAGCUGGUCUGAGAGGAUGAUCAGCCACACUGGGACUGAGACACGGCCCAGACUCCUACGGGAGGCAGCAGUGGGGAAUAUUGGACAAUGGGCGCAAGCCUGAUCCAGCCACGCCGCGUGAGUGAUGAAGGCCUUCGGGUCGUAAAGCUCUGUGGGGAGGGACGAACCGCCGAUGGUGAAUAGCCAGCGGCAUGACGGUACCUCCUUAGCAAGCACCGGCUAACUUCG
This 462-nucleotide ribosomal RNA is filed under the name uncultured soil bacterium. Its description in RNAcentral is "bacterial SSU rRNA". It matches the Rfam family "Bacterial small subunit ribosomal RNA", at positions 61 to 505 of the family's 1533-position model. The record is from RNAcentral.